GUGGGGAAUCUUCCGCAAUGGACGAAAGUCUGACGGAGCAACGCCGCGUGAGUGAAGAAGGUUUUCGGAUCGUAAAGCUCUUUCGUUAGGGACGAACGUGCUCUUUGUGAAUAAUGAGGAGUAAUGACGGUACCUAAAUAAGAAGCCACGGCUAACUACGUGCCAGCAGCCGCGGUAAUACGUAGGUGGCAAGCGUUGUCCGGAAUUAUUGGGCGUAAAGCGCGCGCAGGCGGGAUAUCAAGUCUGUCUUAAAAGUGCGAGACUCAACCUCGUGAGGGGACAGAAACUGGUAUUCUUGAGUGUCGGAGAGGAAAGUGGAAUUCCAAGUGUAGCGGUGAAAUGCGUAGAGAUUUGGAAGAACACCAGUGGCGAAGGCGACUUUCUGGACGAUGUCUGACGCUGAGGCGCGAAAGCUAGGGGAGCGAACGGGAUUAGAAACCCGGGUAGUCC
This 450-nucleotide ribosomal RNA is filed under the name uncultured bacterium. RNAcentral's name for it is "partial 16S ribosomal RNA". It matches the Rfam family "Bacterial small subunit ribosomal RNA", at positions 354 to 796 of the family's 1533-position model. The record is from RNAcentral.